CCCGUCUUUGUAUCACCCUAUGCCGUCACCAGGAGGAUAUGAAGGAGCUUCUUCCUAUCCACCACCACCACCUCCUCCAACACAGGGGUGGUCUGAAGACAACACCGCGGCCUCCUUGGACGAGUUUACACGGUUGUUUGCUACGCCUGCCCAGGACGAUGAUCCUAGCUUGCAUACACCUCUGGCUCAGUUACGCCGUCCUGCCAGAAACGUGGGGCCACCGGAACGUCAUAGCUACCCUACAGAUCACGUACACGCACAACGUAAGAGAGGUCGGAAUGGUAGGGGUCGUUAGUUGUUUCCACUUGUUUCUCCGGCGGUAUUAUGGACUGUUUCGACUGUUCGGAUUAUGAUUGUUUAUGAUUGUGGUAGUUUACUUGUCAUUUGUUUCUAUAGAUAUUAUUGAUGUGAACUUGUUA
This is a long non-coding RNA of Panicum virgatum (switchgrass), 419 nucleotides long. RefSeq lists it as uncharacterized. NCBI's taxonomy places the organism in Eukaryota, Viridiplantae, Streptophyta, Magnoliopsida, Poales, Poaceae. The transcript is spliced from 2 exons. The record is from RefSeq and is a predicted model, not a curated record.